This 640-nucleotide long non-coding RNA is filed under the name Cyanistes caeruleus (blue tit). Its description in RNAcentral is "lncRNA (ENSCCEG00000023752.1)". The record is from RNAcentral. Lineage: Eukaryota; Metazoa; Chordata; Aves; Passeriformes; Paridae.
GAAGCUAUUUUUAAGGAUAGGUAUCACUUUUAUUAGAACCACCAGGAGACAGGACAAGACCAAACAAAGAUGAGACAGAAGUAUGGCGAUUAAAUUCAGAGGAAGACUACGAGCAUCCAAGUCACAAUCACAGAGAUAAAAGUAUUUACAGCCAGAGGUGGCAAAGAGGACAGUUGCUCUGCAAAAUGCACAUUGAAGCUGAAUGAAAGUCAAAGCCAAGGGAGCCAUGCUAUGUGUGCCUGAUAAGCAGAUCUCUGGUGCAGCAGAGAGCAGCUGCCUGGUGCGGGCUCCACAUCACAGGGCUUCACCCUCUGCACUGCCCUCAGCAGAAUGAGAUGCCCAAGUUUGCUCUCAUGGAACACAUCUUGCUCAAGAGCCAGAAUGAAAAUCAAACUCCCACUUCAGAAAGUUACACAGGAUAGCAUCUUGCAGCCCAGCUCUCACAUUUCAUCUGUGCAGACCUUUUCUGAAGCUCCCACAUGAUAUCCCAAAUGCUGCAAAUCCCAAAUACACCAACCAGAGUGCCCAGGGUCACCUAAUCCCCAGCCACCAGCAGCUCUGAUCCCUGAGCAGGCUGCCAGAGGAAUGGGCAAAGGACCAGAUGAAAGGAUUUGUACAUCACUACAAAAAAGUAAUAACC